Non-coding RNA from Clarias gariepinus (North African catfish), 372 nucleotides. NCBI's taxonomy places the organism in Eukaryota, Metazoa, Chordata, Actinopteri, Siluriformes, Clariidae. The record is from the annotation of a RefSeq genome assembly.
AUGGACACCUGGUUAAAAACUUCUUCUAUGGAGAUGUGCGGUGGCCUUGAAUAUAUAGACUCGGAGGAUAACAAACGAGAUGUGGAAUGUGCAGUAGAACUCACUCAGGUCUCCUCAGUGAUGUUAAAGCCAGGAGAAUCUUUAACCCUCAGCUGUAAAGUAUCCGGAUACUCUGUUACUGAUAACAGCUACGCCACAGCUUGGAUUCGACAACCUGCAGGGAAAACUCUGGAAUGGAUAAACCACAUUUGGGGUGGUGGAGAUAUGUAUCAUAAGAAUUCUAAAGAUGACUCCAGCAGCAUGAUGACUCUGAGAGGACAGAACCUGCAGACAGAAGACACAGGACACGUGUCCCCACAUCAAUACUUCUAA